RNAcentral lists this ribosomal RNA (253 nucleotides) under uncultured bacterium. Its description in RNAcentral is "partial 16S ribosomal RNA". It matches the Rfam family "Bacterial small subunit ribosomal RNA", at positions 524 to 776 of the family's 1533-position model. The record is from RNAcentral.
UACGUAGGGAGCAAGCGUUGUCCGGAAUUACUGGGCGUAAAGGGCUCGUAGGUGGCCAACUAAGUCAGACGUGAAAUCCCCAGGCUUAACCUGGGAACUGCGCCUGAUACUGGAUGGCUAGAGUUUGGGAGAGGGAUGCGGAAUUCCAGGUGUAGCGGUGAAAUGCGUAGAUAUCUGGAGGAACACCGGUGGCGAAGGCGGCAUCCUGGACCAACACUGACGCUGAGGAGCGAAAGCCAGGGGAGCAAACGGG